UGCCAUCUUUGCAGUGGGGCUAGCUUAUAGACGCCCACAGGAAACACUUAAAUGUCCGUCGUUUGUCUCUUAACAGUGGGGGCAUGGCCAGACGACUCCUGAUCUCAUAACCACUGCAGCAGACUGUAUUGGUUAUGGUACUUAGACUGUCACCCUCCACAUGCCCCAAAAUAAGUAUUUGAAAAACAUAGAAUUUUCAUGAAAUAUCCAUAUUGACUGUGUUGGAAUUUUGCAGCCAAGAGAUAUACAGAGACAAAGUGGGGACCAAUUUUUCUCAAUAGUUUUCCUUCACCUGACACUUAUUGACACUGGGCGGAGCUACUGCCAUCAAGACGUGUUGGCUGCAGGGAGACUGGCUCUGUCUAUCAAGGUUACCGCAAGACCGCGGGAUCUCAUGUGCGAGAGUACAGCAG
This is a non-coding RNA of Pelobates cultripes (western spadefoot toad), 413 nucleotides long. The record is from the annotation of a GenBank genome assembly. Lineage: Eukaryota; Metazoa; Chordata; Amphibia; Anura; Pelobatidae.